Molecule: ribosomal RNA, 301 nt
Filed under: uncultured bacterium
Lineage: Bacteria
Description: partial 16S ribosomal RNA
Rfam family: Bacterial small subunit ribosomal RNA
Source: RNAcentral
CAGUAGCCGCGGGAAUACGUAGGUGGCAAGCGUUGUCCGGAAUUAUUGGGCGUAAAGCGCGCGCAGGUGGUUUAAUAAGUCUGAUGUGAAAGCCCACGGCUCAACCGUGGAGGGUCAUUGGAAACUGUUAAACUUGAGUGCAGGAGAGAAAAGUGGAAUUCCUAGUGUAGCGGUGAAAUGCGUAGAGAUUAGGAGGAACACCAGUGGCGAAGGCGGCUUUUUGGCCUGUAACUGACACUGAGGCGCAAAAGCGUGGGGAGCAAACAGGAUUAGAUACCCGGGUAGUCCCUGUCUCUUAUAC